This 98-nucleotide transfer RNA is filed under the name Cnuibacter physcomitrellae. Its description in RNAcentral is "tRNA-Pro". Lineage: Bacteria; Bacillati; Actinomycetota; Actinomycetes; Micrococcales; Microbacteriaceae. The record is from RNAcentral.
GGCGAGCUGGCGGGGUACCAGAGCACGCUCGCCUCGGGUGCGGGCGAACUGGCCACCAACCUCCACAAGGCCGCCGAUGGCGCCGGUGAGCUCAACAC